RNAcentral lists this unclassified non-coding RNA (154 nucleotides) under sea anemone metagenome. Its description in RNAcentral is "partial contains small subunit ribosomal RNA and internal transcribed spacer 1". It matches the Rfam family "Eukaryotic small subunit ribosomal RNA", at positions 1678 to 1825 of the family's 1831-position model. The record is from RNAcentral.
GCUACUACCGAUUGAAUGGUUUAGUGAGGACUCCUGAUUGGCGCCGCCGCCCCGGCAACGGAGCAGCGGACUGCCGAAAAGUUGUUCAAACUUGAUCAUUUAGGGGAAGUAAAAGUCGUAACAAGGUUUCCGUAGGUGAACCUGCAGAAGGACA